UACGUAGGGUGCGAGCGUUGCCCGGAUUUAUUGGGCGUAAAGAGCUCGUAGGCGGUCUGUUGCGUCGGCUGUGAAAACCCGGGGCUCAACUCCGGGCCUGCAGCCGAUACGGGCAGACUAGAGUUCGGCAGGGGAGACUGGAAUUCCUGGUGUAGCGGUGAAAUGCGCAGAUAUCAGGAGGAACACCGGUGGCGAAGGCGGGUCUCUGGGCCGAUACUGACGCUGAGGAGCGAAAGCGUGGGGAGCGAACAGG
Molecule: ribosomal RNA, 253 nt
Filed under: uncultured bacterium
Lineage: Bacteria
Description: partial 16S ribosomal RNA
Rfam family: Bacterial small subunit ribosomal RNA
Source: RNAcentral